ACUUAGUUACAAAAACUGGCCAAAGUUAGCAUUAAUAUUUGUUUGCGUGUAAACAAAAAAUAAUGCAAACAUAAUUUGAAUGCCAAUUUUGGACAGUGUUUGUGACUAAGUAGC
Non-coding RNA from Pelobates cultripes (western spadefoot toad), 114 nucleotides. The record is from the annotation of a GenBank genome assembly. NCBI's taxonomy places the organism in Eukaryota, Metazoa, Chordata, Amphibia, Anura, Pelobatidae.